GGGGGAUAACAUUUGGAAACAGAUGCUAAUACCGCAUAAAUCCAAGAACCGCAUGGUUCUUGGCUGAAAGAUGGCGUAAGCUAUCGCUUUUGGAUGGACCCGCGGCGUAUUAGCUAGUUGGUGAGGUAAGGCUCACCAAGGCAAUGAUACGUAGCCGAACUGAGAGGUUGAUCGGCCACAUUGGGACUGAGACACGGCCCAAACUCCUACGGGAGGCAGCAGUAGGGAAUCUUCCACAAUGGACGCAAGUCUGAUGGAGCAACGCCGCGUGAGUGAAGAAGGCUUUCGGGUCGUAAAACUCUGUUGUUGGAGAAGAAUGGUCGGCAGAGUAACUGUUGUCGGCGUGACGGUAUCCAACCAGAAAGCCACGGCUAACUACGUGCCAGCAGCCGCGGUAAUACGUAGGUGGCAAGCGUUAUCCGGAUUUAUUGGGCGUAAAGCGAGCGCAGGCGGUUUUUUAAGUCUGAUGUGAAAGCCCUCGGCUUAACCGAGGAAGUGCAUCGGAAACUGGGAAACUUGAGUGCAGAAGAGGACAGUGGAACUCCAUGUGUAGCGGUGAAAUGCGUAGAUAUAUGGAAGAACACCAGUGGCGAAGGCGGCUGUCUGGUCUGUAACUGACGCUGAGGCUCGAAAGCAUGGGUAGCGAACAGGAUUAGAUACCCUGGUAGUCCAUGCCGUAAACGAUGAAUGCUAGGUGUUGGAGGGUUUCCGCCCUUCAGUGCCGCAGCUAACGCAUUAAGCAUU
This 744-nucleotide ribosomal RNA is filed under the name Lacticaseibacillus rhamnosus. RNAcentral describes it as "bacterial SSU rRNA". It matches the Rfam family "Bacterial small subunit ribosomal RNA", at positions 138 to 868 of the family's 1533-position model. Lineage: Bacteria; Bacillati; Bacillota; Bacilli; Lactobacillales; Lactobacillaceae. The record is from RNAcentral.